GACGUGACUUCAGAGUUUGAUCCUGGCUCAGGACGAACGCUGGCGGCGUGCUUAACACAUGCAAGUCGAGCGGGGAUCAAUUAUGGAAAGCUUCGGCCGGAAGUGGUUGAUUCUAGCGGCGGACGGGUGAGUAACGCGUGAGCAAUCUGUCCUACACAGGGGGAUAACACCUGGAAACAGGUGCUAAUACCGCAUAAGACCACGAGGUCGCAUGGCCACGGGGUAAAAGAUUUAUCGGUGUAGGGUGAGCUCGCGUCUGAUUAGCUAGUUGGUGAGGUAACGGCCCACCAAGGCGACGAUCAGUAGCCGACCUGAGAGGGUGAUCGGCCACAUUGGAACUGAGACACGGUCCAG
RNAcentral lists this ribosomal RNA (354 nucleotides) under uncultured bacterium. RNAcentral's name for it is "bacterial SSU rRNA". It matches the Rfam family "Bacterial small subunit ribosomal RNA", at positions 1 to 334 of the family's 1533-position model. The record is from RNAcentral.